Long non-coding RNA from Electrophorus electricus (electric eel), 427 nucleotides. RefSeq lists it as uncharacterized. NCBI's taxonomy places the organism in Eukaryota, Metazoa, Chordata, Actinopteri, Gymnotiformes, Gymnotidae. The record is from RefSeq and is a predicted model, not a curated record.
AGUGCCUCCACCUCCUCGCGCAUGGCCCUCAGCGGGCGCAACUCCCGUAACUCCAUCUCCACCUCCAGAAGCUUUUCUGAUGCACUGUUCCUGGCCACCAUGAGGCGCAGGUGUUCUGAGGCAGAGCUUGACUCGUGUUCUCUCAUGUCCUGGUUGAGACCCUGAGAAGCAGGAGCAGCCAAAGCGAAAGAAAGAACAUGUGACUUGAGCCUUUGGGCAGUCAUGCUGGUGACUGGACAGCUACAGAACACAUGAAGAACAUCUUAAAUGAAGUUUACAUGCCCACAUGACUAGAGAAUCACUUUUCUAAACUCUGGAGUAAAUGCUCUAGUAGGAAUCACACCUAGAGAUUAUUAUAUAUACAUAGGUCCUUACACACACACACACACACAGACAGACAGAGAGAGAGAGAAAGAACGACAUUAAA